This is a long non-coding RNA of Bos taurus (domestic cattle), 1136 nucleotides long. Lineage: Eukaryota; Metazoa; Chordata; Mammalia; Artiodactyla; Bovidae. The record is from Ensembl.
GCCUUAAUUUAAGCCUGCUUCUGGUAGCCAUUGAUUCAUAGCAGAGCAACUGGCAAGGCCUUAUCCCAAGUUAAAUCAGUCUCUUGAUAUAUUUAGAGACAUCUCUUUUUAAUGUAUGGCUCAUUUCCUUAGUUUCUUUUUCUGUUGAUUGUGCUUUUCAGGUUGAAUGUAGCUUUAACGCCUUAAUCUAAAUCAGUGGAUAGUUUCCCUAAGAGGGCUUUAACCACCUCAGAGAUUUUUUUGUCCGGGGGGGUAUGCUUUCACUCAUUCUAAAAAUGUGCCCACACAAACACUAACGGGUUGUCUGAAGUUUCUUGCGAUCCAAGGCAUCUUAGUAAAGUCUAGUUUUCAGUCCUUGGCGGGACAGGUUCCUCUGUGUUGUGUCUGGGGAGGUCUGACAGCAGUCUUUAGGUUAUUUUUAAGACCCUGGGGGGAGAGGGCUCUUGUCUCCUUUUUGGGGAUUUUCAUGAGCUCCAGCUAUAGGCUUAACGCGUUCUGGUGGAACUCUGAUGUCAAGAUAUUCCAGUGAAAAACUUCAGGGUGAGGUCUAUCCAUUAAUCAGCUUGUUCCCCACUGUCCAUUUUACCCUGGGCUCCUGUGGGGAAUUAGGCACCUCAAGCCCAAAGGAGGCCCUGGGCCUCUUCAUUCAGAGGGUUCCUCACUUUCUCCUGCAUAAGAUGCUCAAGUCUUUUAUUGUUGCCUUCUGCUUUAGCUGAGGGCAAUCUGUUUUCCUCUGUUCCUCCUCCUUACAGUAAGACAUUGUUCCUUCCUCAACACUUACCUCUUCAGUUCCUUGCCUCUGGGAAUCCAGUGCCGCUGCCAAAAACUUGGCAUUUCAUCUUGCUUCUUCUUUCUUCUAUUGUUUUCUGUUGAAUACUUUUAAAAGCAACAUCUACCAAUUGAGAAGGGUUCAUUCUAAAGGGGAUGUGGGCUGGAUCCCUUUCGGGAAGAUUUCACAUGCCAGGGGGGCAACUAAACCUGUGUGCCACAACUUCGAGCUGCAAGUACUGACUGCGAGUCACAACAACAGAACCUGCAUGGUCUAGAGCCUGCAAUAAGACAAGCCACCACAAUGAGAAGCCCACGCACCACAAAGAACAGCCCCCACUUGAUGCAACUAGAGAAAGCCCACGCAC